Long non-coding RNA from Coturnix japonica (Japanese quail), 3366 nucleotides. RefSeq lists it as uncharacterized. Lineage: Eukaryota; Metazoa; Chordata; Aves; Galliformes; Phasianidae. The record is from RefSeq and is a predicted model, not a curated record.
UCAUCUCUUCUGUGUUAUUACUUGCAGUUACUUUAUAUGUUGGGAGUAGUUGAUAUGCUGGAGGGCAAGGCUGCCAUCAUCCUGGGAGUCACAAACAAGGAUCUGGGUGACAGGAGCAUCAUGAAGUUCAAGACUUCAAAUGUGAAGUCUUGCAUCUUGUAAACAGAGACACCAUGCAACAGUACAAACUGGGGACAGGCUGGACAUCGAGCUGAAUGUGAGUUGAGAAUGUGCCAUUGUGUGAAUGAGAGCCAAGCGCAAAAGACACUGGGCUGCAUUAAUAACAGCAGAGGCAGCAGGUUGAGAUAGCCGGCGGAGGUGAAUAUUGCACCCCUCUGAGGAGAAGAAAAUCCCACAGGCAAGCAGAGAGCAAGAUUGACAUUUCUCAUUAUUUCUGUACUCCAGGCUGUGCAAGGAAACACUCAUCGUUCUUGAAGCAGAAUCUAGGGAAGCUCUGUCUCAGCAUACACGACCUCUACUGCACAAAGAGAAAGGUUGCGUUGUGCCUGGGGAACAAAGCUCUGGAAUGAAGUCUAUAACAGCUAAGAUAUGCUGGGCCACGGAGCAUCUUUGCAAGUCUCUAAACAGCCCACAGGAAAAUCACAGAAGGACCCUGUGAGUGGCAGUUAUGUAAGACGAAACUUGAGCCAAGCCAUUGGGUGCCAUAUCCCAGGGAUGGGAGAAAAUGGCAGGUGUGAUGAGCUGGGGCUGGCUGUGUUCAUGGAGUUUCUGUGCUGCCUGGAGUUUUCUCACUUGGAAAGCUUCAUAUGUUGCUAUUUUGCAUUGCUCUGGAAUCAUAAUGGAAAGUAGGAAAGCACAAACAAGUGAACCCAGAGUAUCAUAAAACAGCCUAGAAUGAAAUUUUUGGUCUAGUAGUGGUGACAGAAAACACAAGUGAGGGGUUUUGCUGAGCAGCUUUAGUGGCAGUGAGCACCCUGGAAAUACAAACUGGCUGGGUUUGAUGCCUACUUCUUUCAGGCUGCAAAAGCUGCCCAGAAAUCUUUCAGAGUUCCACUGCAGAGACCCUAGGAGUGUUUCAGCUGAUUUGCAGAUGACUUCUGGCAUUGGCCUGAAGCCGUGGGAAAUGAGAAGCUCCAAAAUUAGGCAAAACUCAGUAUUUUCUUUUAAGUUGUUUAAAAAUACAGGUUAUACGUUCCUAACAGUUGAGAAGAAAGCUAGAGUGGCACCAGGCUGGAGAAUGGAGUGUUGGUGUGCAUAAGGAAACAUGGGAGAAAUCACCUCUUUGGAGAGAAGGUGUGAUCCCAGAGCCUGGGAGGAAGGAGCCCUGUGGCACCCACUGAGAGGAGGAGGAGCUGGAAUCCUGAGCUUGUAUUUGCCUGGGAAAUAAGUGGAAAAACACUUGUAUGUCCCUACAGAGCAUUUCAGGCAAGCCAGACAUUGUAUCCACUCAGGUGGAUAAAUAGUCAAGUGUCAUUAGUACAUGUAGCUCUUAUUGACAACCUUGCCAAACCCAUUUUGUAACACAGCUGUAACCAUGCAACAAAGCACUGUGAGCUAAAACAGGACAGAGGUGAUUUUACUUCAAACAAAACAAGGUUUACACAUUCACAUACCCUCAUGCUUCCAAACAUCAAAAUGAAUGGCUCCAAGUGCUUCAGCCCAGGUGACUGUGGUGGUGAAGAUGGAAAAGGCAUGUAGGUAUCUCAACAUGUCUCCUUGGUUCUUCAUGGACUGGAAGCCAAGUGCUGCUCUGGGAUCUUCUGAGUUGACAGUGUGAUCUUUUGUUUCUUCAUCCUGUUCCAUCCCUGGCUUAGUGUUUACUUUUCUGUCCUUAUCUGGCUGUUUUAUGGCUCCAAGCCUGUUUUUUCUUCCUUUCAUCACUUCUUGAGAGCUCUGGUUUAUUAGCCUGUCCUUCAUUUUGCUCGCUGCGUUGACUGUCUUCAAUGUGAGGAGGUUCUGGUAAGCCUCACACAGACCUGUUGGCACCUCGAUGACCUGCUGGCUGAGGUGCCAUCUGCACCUGCCAUUCCACUCUUCUCUCUGGUGUUCCCACACUUAGGUAAUCACUCACAUACAGAAAGUUCUUAACAUUUUUAUUAAAAAUUCCUCACACCUUGCAACAUAUGUUACCCAUCUACAGCAGAUCCUCAAGAGUGUAGAUGACUACUGAAGAAGCAAGGAUCUCUAAGGAGGGUCCACUUAAGCCCACCUCCCAGGUCUGAAGGUCAUUUAAGCAUAUGGAACAACGCAGAGAGAAAAGGGAGCACUGAAAAGCUGCUCCAGUAAUUCCCAGCUGCCUCUUCCCUGCUCCACUUUCUCCUGAUGCUGCCCUUUUCAAUUGCCCACUGAACUGAGGUUUGGAAUUAUUUCUCUUGAGAAACUGCACAGAGUUUUAUUGCUUUGAUUUUAACUGAUCUAUUGGCUGCCUGUGCAUUUCUCAGCCACUUUCCGAAAACAGCAGCUGGUAUGCUGGUAUGGGUGGUGUUUGCAGGUGAAAAGUGGAGCUGCCUAAUAGCUUUCCAGCUGAUAUAGCACCAGCAUUGGAUUAGGUCAUUGUAAUGGCAGCUGAAAACUUUGCUUUAACACAGCUUGAACGGCUCAGUACACCUCAGUUUGGUGAGAAGAAGCGGUGCCCGGUGUGGCCGGUUGAUGUACUUCUGUCUCAAGUGUUUGUUCAACGCAAGCACCAGAAAGUUGAGCACAGUGAAAUAAAAGCAGAUCUGCUUGCAAAAACAAAACUGAACAAAAAUCACCUGAAAGAAAAAUCCAUGUUCCUUUCUCAGUAGCUUUUAUGAAAACUUUCUCCUUCCUCACAUUGCAGUGACUCCAUGAGGAUCAUUCUACAAUAUGGAGUUUAAUAUGUGUACUAAAAUUUAUUCCAGCUGUUGCUAAUCAUAGAGAUAUGAAUAAUGUUAUUAUACAGGGAAAAAUCUUGACUAGACUCGGUGCAGAUUUAUUCAUUUGUAAUUUUUCCAUCUUAAAUCCAAAUAUUAAAAGCCAGAUGAAAGGAAGGAAAGGUAAUUGUAACCACUGGCUUCUACUUCAGCGUGAUGAAAUUGAGCUUGCUCAGUAAUCAAAGAAUAAGUGUAGAGAUUUUUAUCAGAGUAUCUGAUUUUAUCAGACCAUUUGCAGGGUCUGCAAUUCAAUAGAAACCAGGGAUGCCAGAUCUUUCGUAUAAAUCACUUCAGGGAGAGGUCUGCUGCCGGGUUACAGCUCAGACAUGGCCAGAAAAAGUCCAGCUGAAGCUGAAUAGGGAACACACUUGGGGUCUUCAAACUCUGCCAUUACUGCAGCAUGUAAACUUCUAAGAGGCGAUUACAUUGAGAAAUGUGCUGCCAGCUCUGAAGGCUGAGUCUGGUCAUAGAAUCAUAGAAUCAUAGAAUCGUAGAAUCGUAGAAUCAUAGA